RNAcentral lists this non-coding RNA (56 nucleotides) under Sus scrofa (pig). Lineage: Eukaryota; Metazoa; Chordata; Mammalia; Artiodactyla; Suidae. The record is from RNAcentral.
AGGGCCAGCUCUGCACCCCAGCUUAAGGUGUAACUGGGUUGAAUGGCUGGUUCUGA